RNAcentral lists this ribosomal RNA (339 nucleotides) under uncultured bacterium. Its description in RNAcentral is "bacterial SSU rRNA". It matches the Rfam family "Bacterial small subunit ribosomal RNA", at positions 462 to 793 of the family's 1533-position model. The record is from RNAcentral.
UCAUUAUUUGACGUUACCUACAGAAGAAGCACCGGCUAACUCCGUGCCAGCAGCCGCGGUAAUACGGAGGGUGCGAGCGUUAAUCGGAAUUACUGGGCGUAAAGCGCAUGCAGGCGGCCUGUUAAGUCAGAUGUGAAAGACCCGGGGCGUUAACCUCGGAAUUGCAUUUGAAACUGGCAGGCUAGAGUCUUGUAGAGGGGGGUAGGAAUUUCAGGUUAGGUUAGCGGUGAAAUGCGUAGAGAUCUGAAGGAAUACCAGUGGCGAAGGCGGCCCCCUGGACAAAGACUGACGCUCAGAUGCGAAAGCGUGGGGAGCAAACAGGAUUAGAUACCCUGGUAG